RNAcentral lists this microRNA precursor (94 nucleotides) under Amborella trichopoda. RNAcentral's name for it is "miR8565f stem-loop (atr-MIR8565f)". The record is from miRBase by way of RNAcentral. Lineage: Eukaryota; Viridiplantae; Streptophyta; Magnoliopsida; Amborellales; Amborellaceae.
AUCACCAUUAAAUUUGGCACAGAUCUCUAGAAAAGUUGUCACAUAGGUGUGGGACUUGACUUUUCUAGAGAUCUGUGCCAAAUUUAAUGGUGAU